UACAGAGGGUGCGAGCGUUGUCCGGAAUCACUGGGCGUAAAGGGCGCGUAGGCGGCCUGAUAAGUAGGGGGGUGAAAUCUUGCGGCUCAACCGCAAGGCUGCCUUCUAAACUGUCAGGCUGGAGCACGGUAGAGGCAGAUGGAAUUCCCGGUGUAGCGGUGGAAUGCGUAGAGAUCGGGAGGAACACCAGUGGCGAAGGCGGCUUGCUGGGCCGGACCUGACGCUGAGACGCGAAGGCGUGGGGAGCGAACGGG
This 254-nucleotide ribosomal RNA is filed under the name uncultured bacterium. RNAcentral describes it as "partial 16S ribosomal RNA". It matches the Rfam family "Bacterial small subunit ribosomal RNA", at positions 524 to 776 of the family's 1533-position model. The record is from RNAcentral.